AUUGAACGCUGGCGGCAGGCUUAACACAUGCAAGUCGAGCGGAGCGAGGGUGCUUGCACCUUAGCUUAGCGGCGGACGGGUGAGUAAUGCUUAGGAAUCUGCCUAUUAGUGGGGGGCAACAUUCCGAAAGGAAUGCUAAUACCGCAUACGCCCUACGGGGGAAAGCAGGGGAUCUUCGGACCUUGCGCUAAUAGAUGAGCCUAAGUCGGAUUAGCCAGUUGGUGGGGUAAAGGCCUACCAAGGCGACGAUCUGUAGCGGGUCUGAGAGGAUGAUCCGCCACACUGGGACUGAGACACGGCCCAGACUCCUACGGGAGGCAGCAGUGGGGAAUAUUGGACAAUGGGCGGAAGCCUGAUCCAGCCAUGCCGCGUGUGUGAAGAAGGCCUUUUGGUUGUAAAGCACUUUAAGCGAGGAGGAGGCUCUUAAGGUUAAUACCCUUGAUGAGUGGACGUUACUCGCAGAAUAAGCACCGGCUAACUCUGUGCCAGCCGCCGCUGUAA
This 501-nucleotide ribosomal RNA is filed under the name uncultured bacterium. RNAcentral describes it as "partial 16S ribosomal RNA". It matches the Rfam family "Bacterial small subunit ribosomal RNA", at positions 30 to 523 of the family's 1533-position model. The record is from RNAcentral.